RNAcentral lists this ribosomal RNA (578 nucleotides) under Fuscopostia sp. RNAcentral's name for it is "SSU rRNA". It matches the Rfam family "Bacterial small subunit ribosomal RNA", at positions 355 to 965 of the family's 1533-position model. The record is from RNAcentral. Lineage: Eukaryota; Fungi; Basidiomycota; Agaricomycetes; Polyporales; Fomitopsidaceae.
CCGGGGAGAUUGAACUAGGCCUAACCUGCAAUCACUUGUACUUGAAAUAUAGUAACAAGAGAUGUCGUAAGGGAAAAUAAUGAUAUUACCUUACUAAUAGUGUCGUCAAAAACUGGUGCCAGAAGACUCGGUAAGACCAGAGACGCAAACGUUAAUCAUCUUAAUCAGGCGUAAAGGGUUUGUAGGCUGCUUUGAAAAUCUUAAAUUUAUAUUAGCUAAGGCAAUUAGCCUGGUAAAAUUAGGAUCAAUUAAAGCUAGAAUCUAAUAGAGGUUAUAUUAAAUAAUACUUAGAGGAGGGAUUAAAUCCUUAGAUACUAAGGGGAAUACUUAGGGCGAAAGCAUUUUACCACUAAAGAUUGACGCUGAGAAACGAAGGUGAGGAUAGGAAAUAGGAUUAGAUACCCCGGUACCCCUCUCUGUCAACGAUGAAUGGUAGUUCCUAGUUUAAGAACUAGAGACGAUGUUAACACGUUAACCAUUCCGCCUUGUGAGUACGAUUGCAAAAUUGAAAACAAAAAAAUUAGUCGGUCUCGGAGCAAACGAAGUGAAGCAUGUUAUUUAAUUCGAUUAAAUCCGCA